RNAcentral lists this ribosomal RNA (224 nucleotides) under uncultured bacterium. Its description in RNAcentral is "partial 16S ribosomal RNA". It matches the Rfam family "Bacterial small subunit ribosomal RNA", at positions 15 to 219 of the family's 1533-position model. The record is from RNAcentral.
GAUCCUGGCUCAGGAUGAACGCUGGCGGCGUGCUUAACACAUGCAAGUCGAGCGAAGCACUCUGCUUUGAUUCUUUUGGGAUGAAGAGCAUUGUGACUGAGCGGCGGACGGGUGAGUAACGCGUGGGUAACCUGCCUCAUACAGGGGGAUAACAGUUAGAAAUGGCUGCUAAUACCGCAUAAGACCACAGCACCGCAUGGUGCAGGGGUAAAAACUCCGGUGGU